CCCCCAUAAGGUAGCGGGGCAACUGCUCCCGCAGCUGGAUGCGGCCUCGCAGCGCUGCCUGGCAGAAGGUGCCGUCCAGCAGGAUCUGGUCCAAGUGGAAAAUGGCGCCUGGGCCGUGUCCACACUUUAUGGGGUGCUGGCUGAGUCCCGCCCACAGCUGGAGCGGCCUCUAUCCAAUGGCACCCACACCGGGAGGACUCAGCUCACAUUUGUAAGGCCAUCACCUACUUUGUGGAGCUCCCAGGGGUGGGAGUGAGCAUGCUGAAUGUCUUCUUGAAGUCACACCAUCGAGAGCACAAGAGACCUGAGUUCCUCACCUACCCCCAUCUCCACAUCACAUCCAAGCCCUCUCCUUAGGGAGAUGGUAACCAUACUGUUUCACAGCCUUCAUGUAAAUCUGCUUCCAACUGACUAUUAAUUUGAAUAAAGAGAUCCUGGACCUCUACCCAGUCUCUGGGGACCACAGCAUCGGUUUAGACCAUUACUCUGCACAUGGACCAGAAAAGGUGUACAGGGUCCUUAAGAACACCUUCAUGUAUCAAAUGAUUAUUAGUAUACUGAUCUUCCAUCCCUUUGCUUAUGGCAGGAAAUAGCUUAAAUAAAUAACUGUAAAAAA
Microcebus murinus (gray mouse lemur) is the source of this 616-nucleotide non-coding RNA. Lineage: Eukaryota; Metazoa; Chordata; Mammalia; Primates; Cheirogaleidae. The record is from RefSeq and is a predicted model, not a curated record.